RNAcentral lists this long non-coding RNA (435 nucleotides) under Brassica napus (rape). Its description in RNAcentral is "long non-coding RNA (BNAP_LNC010034)". Lineage: Eukaryota; Viridiplantae; Streptophyta; Magnoliopsida; Brassicales; Brassicaceae. The record is from RNAcentral.
AGGGUGGGGUUUAGGGUUUAGGGUUUAGGGUUUAGGGUUUAGAGUUUAGAGUUUAGGGUUUAGGGUUUAGGGUUUAGAGUUUAGAGUUUAGGGUUUAGGGUUUAGAGUUUAGGGUUUAGGGUUUAGGGUUUAGAGUUGAGAAAUGAGGUUUUGCGGAUAAGAUUUCAAAUUUUGAAAAAUAAAAAAAUUAAAAUUUUCAAAAGAUAAAUUUAGAAAGGUGCUAUUUUGGUCAUUUUAGUUUUUGAGUGCUAUUUUUGUAAUAUAAACUUAGAAAUGUGCUAUUUUGGAGAUUUACCCUUAAUAAAUCUACUUAUGAAAAUUGUUUGGACUCUUUCCUUUUAUUAAAUUUUGGUCUUCCCCUAUAUAUUAUAACAAGUAACAACAUGUGACCAACAUGUGUGCAAAUCGGUUUACAUUAUUUAAAUUUGUACCAUU